Molecule: long non-coding RNA, 575 nt
Organism: Daucus carota subsp. sativus
Lineage: Eukaryota; Viridiplantae; Streptophyta; Magnoliopsida; Apiales; Apiaceae
Exons: 3
Source: RefSeq, a predicted model, not a curated record
CAGGUUAUCUCUGAUUUGGACCUGGCACAAAAAAAAAGAGUCCUAGUGGAGAAGUGGGAAGCAGUCUGUGGCCGUGGGGACCAUAAGGUGCUGUACAGUUUCUUGUCGGUCAGCAAAGAUAGUGAUGAUUUUGCUGUGCUGACUAUGCCAGAGGAAUUUUUAAUACAUUUGGGCAUACAAUACCAUUCAUGAUAGGACUUAGCUGCAAACAUGUGUUGUGGUGUGUUGACUGUGAUCUCAAACGGAAUGAAAUCCGUAGUCUAAACAGGUUCAAGAGAUAUUAUGGACUAAAAAUUUUCAACCUGGUACAAUUAGACUACGUUGGAGAUGAUUUGUUCAUCAUUAGGCUCUUCAAAGAGACAGCAUUCGAGUCUAAAUACCCCACUGGCAGAGCGAAUGAUGUGGAAUGGAGCAAAGAUUGGGAGACACUGAACAGAGCGCAGUAUGUUAUCGACACCAGCACACUUGAGUGUGAAAAGGCAAUGGCCUCGAUUUCUUUCAAUGCCUGCGCAAACAGAACUGAUUAUGCAUAUCUUAUCUUUGUAGAAUCAAAAUUUGAUGAAGGCAGAGGAAAC